UACGUAGGUGGCAAGCGUUGUCCGGAUUUACUGGGCGUAAAGGGAGCGUAGGCGGAUACUUAAGUGGGAUGUGAAAUACCUGGGCUUAACUUGGGUGCUGCAUUCCAAACUGGGUGUCUAGAGUGUUGGAGAGGAAAGUGGAAUUCCUAGUGUAGCGGUGAAAUGCGUAGAGAUUAGGAAGAACACCAGUGGCGAAGGCGACUUUCUGGACAAUAACUGACGCUGAGGCUCGAAAGCGUGGGGAGCAAACAGGAUUAGAUACCCUGGUAGUCCACGCCGUAAGCGAUGGGUACUAGGUGUAGGAGGUCUCGACUCCUCCUGUGCCGCCGUUAACACAAUAAGUACCCCGCCUGGGGAGUACGGUCGCAAGAUUAAA
This 376-nucleotide ribosomal RNA is filed under the name uncultured bacterium. RNAcentral's name for it is "bacterial SSU rRNA". It matches the Rfam family "Bacterial small subunit ribosomal RNA", at positions 524 to 898 of the family's 1533-position model. The record is from RNAcentral.